RNAcentral lists this ribosomal RNA (329 nucleotides) under uncultured bacterium. Its description in RNAcentral is "bacterial SSU rRNA". It matches the Rfam family "Bacterial small subunit ribosomal RNA", at positions 8 to 334 of the family's 1533-position model. The record is from RNAcentral.
AGGGUUUGAUUAUGGCUCAGGAUGAACGCUGGCGGCGUGCUUAACACAUGCAAGUCGAACGGGAUCCAUCAGGCUUUGCUUGGUGGUGAGAGUGGCGAACGGGUGAGUAAUGCGUGACCGACCUGCCCCAUACACCGGAAUAGCUCCUGGAAACGGGUGGUAAUGCCGGAUGCUCCGACUCCUCGCAUGGGGUGUCGGGAAAGAUUUCAUCGGUAUGGGAUGGGGUCGCGUCCUAUCAGGUAGUCGGCGGGGUAACGGCCCACCGAGCCUACGACGGGUAGCCGGCCUGAGAGGGCGACCGGCCACAUUGGGACUGAGAUACGGCCCAG